Molecule: long non-coding RNA, 1183 nt
Organism: Culex pipiens pallens (northern house mosquito)
Lineage: Eukaryota; Metazoa; Arthropoda; Insecta; Diptera; Culicidae
Exons: 3
Source: RefSeq, a predicted model, not a curated record
UUAAUGGUAACAUCCGCAACACGCAUAUUCUGAAUUGCUCCUUUUAGAAUUUUAGCAAUUUUCUCAUUAUCAUAAAAAAAAACAAUCAUUGUUUAUCAAACUCUAAUAUACAGCUUCAAGAAAUUAUGCUCUUAUUUAAAAAAAUACAUGCGUGUCAUUAUUUUAAACAAAAAGUUUCAAAAUCACAUGAUUAAAGUUGACAGUUUAUGUUUUUUCGUGCUUGACAAAAUUUAGAGUGUACCCAUGAAAAAAGAGGUGUGUGUGUGUAGAGUGCAACCAACAAAAAUCAAACCGUCAGUCUCCAUCAUCGUGGUCGGUCGCCAUUUGCUGCAGAAUUUUUUUUCGUCGUUAAAAUGGGCCGAACGAAGAAAGGUAACUUAGCAAAUUAGUUUUAGAUUCAAUGUUACACAUCUAAUAAACAAUAUUUAUUAUUUAUCUUUCCAGAAAACACAAAAAAAGUGAAGACUACGGCCAAAAGUGCUCAACAAACGCGUUCCCGAAAGGCGGGGGCGGAGCCCCAAGAACGUCAGAAAAAACAGCAAAGUGCGGCCAAAACGGUGAACGAUUCUGCGCUUAAACUGAAGCUGGACGAAAAGCUUCAGAAAUCCGGAAUAAGCCUGAGCCAGAAUGGUUUGGAAAUGGUGUCCAUACCAAGUGGCGCGUUUAUCGAAAACUGCCCGGGACCGUCGACCCCCAAGGACCCUCUGAAUUUGAGUGUGACGGCCGUGCCGGAAGCUGCCACCAAGAACGGUAGCUUGUCUCUAAUGACCAGUGACGAAGAAGACGACAGUCAGGAGGGGGACGGCGAUUACGAUGACGGAUCGACAUCAAAAGAGAGUUUGACACUUUUAUAAUAAACAUUGAUCUUUUUCCAGGAGACCUUGGAUAAGUUCUCGAAGUUACACGUUCCCACCGAAGUCGCCAAACAAUCUGCGGCCAUGGAAGAAGAUCCGUUCCCGAUGCCCAUCAAAGCUGAGAAAACCCCACCUCGAGCUACACCAUAACCGGAGAACGACGCGCUGACCUACGUUAACAUGUGGAAGAACAAGUUCCUUCAUCAGCUUGAGCAGACCAAGGAGCUUUCUAACAGUCUGCUCAAAGAAAAAGCGAAAUCAUCCAGGCUGAAUCAGCUGGUUAUCACGCAGAUGGCGAUGAUCCGGGAAUUGCGCCUCGGAAAGGAAAC